RNAcentral lists this transfer RNA (87 nucleotides) under Fervidicoccus fontis. RNAcentral describes it as "tRNA-Leu". It matches the Rfam family "tRNA". From Rfam's summary of the family: Transfer RNA (tRNA) molecules are approximately 80 nucleotides in length. Their secondary structure includes four short double-helical elements and three loops (D, anti-codon, and T loops). Lineage: Archaea; Thermoproteati; Thermoproteota; Thermoprotei; Fervidicoccales; Fervidicoccaceae. The record is from RNAcentral. RNAcentral also lists the same sequence under 2 other names.
GCGGGGGUGCCCGAGCUGGACAAAGGGGGCGGACUUAAGAUCCGCUGGCGUAGGCCUGCGUGGGUUCAAAUCCCACCCCCCGCACCA